UGUCACCUACGGGGGGCAGCAGUGAGGAAUAUCGGUCAAUGGCCGAGAGGCUGAACCAGCCACGUCGCGUGAGGGAAGACGGCCCUAUGGGUUGUAAACCUCUUUUGUCGGAGAACAAAACCCGGGACGUGUCCCGGACUGCGUGUAUCCGAAGAAAAAGCAUCGGCUAACUCCGUGCCAGCAGCCGCGGUAAUACGGAGGAUGCGAGCGUUAUCCGGAUUUAUUGGGUUUAAAGGGUGCGCAGGCGGGAGAUCAAGU
RNAcentral lists this ribosomal RNA (258 nucleotides) under uncultured bacterium. RNAcentral's name for it is "partial 16S ribosomal RNA". It matches the Rfam family "Bacterial small subunit ribosomal RNA", at positions 333 to 588 of the family's 1533-position model. The record is from RNAcentral.